Molecule: ribosomal RNA, 274 nt
Filed under: uncultured bacterium
Lineage: Bacteria
Description: partial 16S ribosomal RNA
Rfam family: Bacterial small subunit ribosomal RNA
Source: RNAcentral
CUACGAAGGGGGCAAGCGUUGUUCGGAAUAACUGGGCGUAAAGCGCACGUAGGCGGAAUGUUAAGUUAGAGGUGAAAUCCCAGGGCUCAACCCUGGAACGGCCUUUAAUACUGGCAAUCUAGAGACCGAGAGAGGUGAGUGGAAUUCCGAGUGUAGAGGUGAAAUUCGUAGAUAUUCGGAGGAACACCAGUGGCGAAGGCGGCUCACUGGCUCGGUACUGACGCUGAGGUGCGAAAGCGUGGGGAGCAAACAGGAUUAGAAACCCCAGUAGUCC